UUUUAUUUUUUACCUCAUAAUAAUUUAAAAAAAAAAAUUCAAGAUCUGAAGAACAACAAUAGCUCCGCUCAGAAUUAGUAAAUAUAGCUAAAAUUAUUCAACAAUAGUCCUAAAAAUUUUCAAACAAAUUCUUUCUUGCAAAUUUCAUCUCGUCUUCAAUUAAUUAAAGAAGAGGCAAUUAAUCAACUUGAGCCUCUUCUUCUUUAAUUAAUUUGAGCAACCAGAGUAUGUUAUGCCUAUUCUUCAAAAUGCAACAAUAGUCACAAAGGGAAGGCAAACAAUUUCAAGCAAUAGUCCCAACAAUAGCUUAAAUCUUUGAGAACUUUCAUCAAACAGCUUCAGAGUGUAUUGAUAGUGGAUGAUGGGAACAGAAACUUGCCCAUUGAGCCUCUUCCUCCAUCAUCAUCAGCUACCCAAAGAGAUACAACAGUAGCAGCCAUUGAGAACCAUGAAGAAACCCAGCUUACCGCUGCAAUCACCGACGCCUCACGAGAAGACCCAUCAAUCGCUGCCAUCAAUGACACCUAACCAUGAAGAGCUCCCCUUCACCAUUAAGAACCACAAAGAAACCUAGCUUACCACUGCCAUCACACGUCAUAUAGAGAUCCUUCACAAGCCACCACGAACCCAUCAACCACCAUUGCAUGUCGUGAAGUAAUCCACAGUAUCGCCAUCACUAUCAGCAAAAAGUCCUCGAGUGAGUGAUGAGGCUGCUGAACGAAAGGCUAAGAUUGAGUGAAUGGAAAAAGUAGGGAUUUGAUAUUGAAUGGGCUUUCAAGAAUUG
This 784-nucleotide unclassified non-coding RNA is filed under the name Hevea brasiliensis (rubber tree). Lineage: Eukaryota; Viridiplantae; Streptophyta; Magnoliopsida; Malpighiales; Euphorbiaceae. The record is from RNAcentral.